This is a long non-coding RNA of Oxyura jamaicensis (ruddy duck), 483 nucleotides long. RefSeq lists it as uncharacterized. The record is from RefSeq and is a predicted model, not a curated record. The transcript is spliced from 2 exons. Lineage: Eukaryota; Metazoa; Chordata; Aves; Anseriformes; Anatidae.
GGAGCAGGCAGGAUGGCCUGGGGGAAGAGAUGGGGUGUUUGCGUGGUGACGUGGGGAACCUCAGCACAAGCAGCAGCACAUAGAGGAUGUGGGGCUAUAGCUGCCUGGCAGGCACCAAAGGAGUGGCGUAGAAGUGGCUUGUCAACAAGGCUGACCUGUCCUCCCAGGCCACGUGAAGGGCCUGUAGCGGAGAUGUUUUUCCCUGCCUCCUUCCCAGCAGUGCCCUGCACAGCCUUGCCCCUCGUUAGCAGAAGGGGGCUCCUGCAGAAGGCUUUCCUCCCAGCAUGGUCUAUGCAGCUCCAUCGCAGAGCUGCUCUUCCAAGCUGUGCUAGUCACUCCCAGACUGGCUUUGUGGAGUAUGCAGUUUCCCUGCUUCCAAGAAGUAGUAAUACAAAAUAAGAGCACAAAGGUCUGGAGAGGGUCAAUGGGGCUGUAGAAGGAGUCUUACAGCAAGAAUAAAGACAGCUCUAGCUCUUACUCUGA